RNAcentral lists this non-coding RNA (30 nucleotides) under Mus musculus (house mouse). Lineage: Eukaryota; Metazoa; Chordata; Mammalia; Rodentia; Muridae. The record is from RNAcentral.
UGUAUAUGCUGCUAUGUGCUAUCAUCUACA